Molecule: long non-coding RNA, 1961 nt
Filed under: Salmo salar (Atlantic salmon)
Lineage: Eukaryota; Metazoa; Chordata; Actinopteri; Salmoniformes; Salmonidae
Description: lncRNA (ENSSSAG00000113873.1)
Source: RNAcentral
GGGGCUUUCUACUGGGCCCACCCAUAACCACAGCCAUACUCUGGACUGGUUAUUACCAAGGGGAUUUCUACUGGGCCCACCCAUAACCACAGCCAUACUCUGGACUGGUUAUUACCAAGGGGCUUUCUACUGGUCCCACCCAUAACCACAGCCAUACUCUGGACUGGUUAUUACCAAGGGGCUUUCUACUGACAUAUCCUGUAUUGUUGUUGCUUUAUCUGAUCACCACUGGGGAUUUAUACUACCUUGUUGCCCAUAGAACAGGGUAAUACUGAACACAUUAUUAAGAAACACUAUCUGACCUCUGAAGUUGCUACAGAUUUUAUUGAGUUAAUGAACACCACCUAUAUUCCACCACCUGUUCUGCCUUCCUCUUGUGGUGAUUUAGUUGAUAACUUUAAUAGCAAAUUAAGGGCAACCAUUGAUGCCAUAGAUCCAGUAACGUUGAAAAAGGACACAUCCAAACGGAGAGGCCCUUGGAUGACUGAGGAAACUAAUAAAUUAAAGAGAAAUUGCAGAAAGACGGAGUGGAAUUGGAUGAAGUCAAAGUUGCAGGUCCAUUAUGAUAUUCUGAGAGAGCAUCAUAUAUAACAAGGCCAUUAGAAAUGAGAGAGCAUCAUAUAUUACAAGGCCAUUAGAAAUGCCAGAUGGGCUCAUUUUACUAACUUGAUCACCAAUAAUCAGAAUAAUUAGAGAGUGCUCUUCUCCACCAUUGAUGGCCUGAUAAAUCCUACCUCCGCAAACCUAUGUGAACUUUCCUCUACAUGUAAAUGUGAUGAGUUUACAGCAUAUUUCAGAGAUAAGAUAUCCAACAUUAGACUGGGUAUCAGUCAAGACCUGAUGAGAAGUCUGAUGAUAUGUGCACUAGCCUACCACACAAAGGCACUAUGGAUUUAUUUUCCCUGGUUGACACAGACAUGGUCAGGAAAGUGACAUCACAACUUGACCUUCCACCUGCCUUCUCCAUCCUAUCCCCACCACCUUCUUCAAAACAGUUUUUAAUGGCAUAUCUGAAGAAGUGCAAGCUAUUGUUAAUCACUCCCUGUUUAUGGGAACUUUCCCCACUGCACUAAAAACUGAUAUGGUGAAACCCCUUCUGAAGAAAAGGAUUCUAGAUUCUUCAGCUCUUAGAAGUUAUCAGUCUCCAACCUCUUAAGCAGAAUUCUAUUAGUUGGUGUUCCAACAGCUAAAUUAGAUUCUAGAUUCCUCAGCUCUUAGAAGUUAUCAGUCUCCAACCUCUUAAGCAGAAUUCUAUUAGUUGGUGUUCCAACAGCUAAAUUAGAUUCUAGAUUCCUCAGCUCUUAGAAGUUAUCAGUCUCCAACCUCUUAAGCAGAAUUCUAUUAGUUGGUGUUCCAACAGCUAAAUUAUUACCUCAAAUGAAGUUAGAGCACUGAUUAUGCUUUUGAAUCCCAAGGAGCACCAUUUUGUUUCUCUCCGUCACCCACGCUCACUUUAAACAUUUGGAUGAUAGUUAUAUAAAAGACAUAAUUAUAUCACAGACCCGAUUUGCCCUAACGGAAAAUGACAUGAAAAGCACACAUUUGUAAAUCCCAAACUCUAAAAGUAAUUGUAAAGGUAGAUGCAAAUGAUUUGUGACAUUGUGGUUUCAAUAAAGAAUGUAAACAAGAUGCUGUGUUUUUAUUUACAGUAAUGAUGGACAACUGGAGUCAUUUUGAAAAGUUUUUCACAAGUGUACUGUAGUACUGCAGCAGGUGUAGUACUGUAGUACUGUAAUACUGUAGCAGGUGUAGUACUGUAGUACUGUAGCAGGUGUAGUACUGUAGUACUGUAGCAGGUGUAGUACUGUGGUACUGUAGCAGGUGUAGUACUGUAGCAGGUGUAGUACUGUAGCAGGUGUAGUACUGUAGCAGGUGUAGUCCAUCAAACAAUGUUUCCUAUUAGCAGGACAAUAGACUCUUCAUAGCCCAACUGUUGUAAUUGUGAAAAUCCCCAAAUUUGC